This 369-nucleotide ribosomal RNA is filed under the name uncultured Pseudomonas sp. Its description in RNAcentral is "bacterial SSU rRNA". It matches the Rfam family "Bacterial small subunit ribosomal RNA", at positions 1016 to 1382 of the family's 1533-position model. Lineage: Bacteria; Pseudomonadati; Pseudomonadota; Gammaproteobacteria; Pseudomonadales; Pseudomonadaceae. The record is from RNAcentral.
GCCUUCGGGAACUCUGACACAGGUGCUGCAUGGCUGUCGUCAGCUCGUGUCGUGGAGAUGUUGGGGUUAAGUCCCGUAACGAGCGCAACCCUUGUCCUUAGUUACCAGCACGUUAUGGUGGGCACUCUAAGGAGACUGCCGGUGACAAACCGGAGGAAGGUGGGGAUGACGUCAAGUCAUCAUGGCCCUUACGGCCUGGGCUACACACGUGCUACAAUGGUCGGUACAAAGGGUUGCCAAGCCGCGAGGUGGAGCUAAUCCCAUAAAACCGAUCGUAGUCCGGAUCGCAGUCUGCAACUCGACUGCGUGAAGUCGGAAUCGCUAGUAAUCGUGAAUCAGAAUGUCACGGUGAAUACGUUCCCGGGCCUU